RNAcentral lists this ribosomal RNA (560 nucleotides) under uncultured bacterium. Its description in RNAcentral is "bacterial SSU rRNA". It matches the Rfam family "Bacterial small subunit ribosomal RNA", at positions 61 to 620 of the family's 1533-position model. The record is from RNAcentral.
GUCGAACGAGAAUCUACUGAAAGAGUUUUCGGACGAUGGAAGUAGAGGAAAGUGGCGGACGGGUGAGUAACGCGUGAGGAACCUGCCUUGAAGAGGGGGACAACAGUUGGAAACGACUGCUAAUACCGCAUGAAGCAUAGGGGUCGCAUGAUUCUUAUGCCAAAGAUUUAUCGCUUCAAGAUGGCCUCGCGUCUGAUUAGCUAGUUGGCGGGGUAACGGCCCACCAAGGCGACGAUCAGUAGCCGGACUGAGAGGUUGAACGGCCACAUUGGGACUGAGAUACGGCCCAGACUCCUACGGGAGGCAGCAGUGGGGAAUAUUGGGCAAUGGGCGCAAGCCUGACCCAGCAACGCCGCGUGAAGGAAGAAGGCUUUCGGGUUGUAAACUUCUUUUAAGAGGGAAGAGCAGAAGACGGUACCUCUAGAAUAAGCCACGGCUAACUACGUGCCAGCAGCCGCGGUAAUACGUAGGUGGCAAGCGUUGUCCGGAUUUACUGGGUGUAAAGGGCGUGCAGCCGGGUCUGCAAGUCAGAUGUGAAAUCCAUGGGCUCAACCCAUGAA